GACGAACGCUGGCGGCGUGCUUAACACAUGCAAGUCGAACGGAAAGGCCCUGCUUGCAGGGUACUCGAGUGGCGAACGGGUGAGUAACACGUGGGUGAUCUGCCCUGCACUUCGGGAUAAGCUUGGGAAACUGGGUCUAAUACCGGAUAGGAGCCAUCUUUAGUGUGGUGGUUGGAAAGUUUUUUCGGUGUAGGAUGAGCUCGCGGCCUAUCAGCUUGUUGGUGGGGUAAUGGCCUACCAAGGCGGCGACGGGUAGCCGGCCUGAGAGGGUGUACGGCCACAUUGGGACUGAGAUACGGCCCAGACUCCUACGGGAGGCAGCAGUGGGGAAUAUUGCACAAUGGGCGCAAGCCUGAUGCAGCGACGCCGCGUGGGGGAUGAAGGCCUUCGGGUUGUAAACUCCUUUCGCUAGGGACGAAGCUUUUUGUGACGGUACCUAGAUAAGAAGCACCGGCGAACUACGU
RNAcentral lists this ribosomal RNA (464 nucleotides) under uncultured bacterium. RNAcentral's name for it is "partial 16S ribosomal RNA". It matches the Rfam family "Bacterial small subunit ribosomal RNA", at positions 28 to 506 of the family's 1533-position model. The record is from RNAcentral.